AAGUGUGGUGUAGUGGUUUGAGUGUCAGACUGCCACUCUGGAGACCAGGGUUCGAAUCCCUGCUAACCUA
Phrynosoma platyrhinos (Desert horned lizard) is the source of this 70-nucleotide non-coding RNA. Lineage: Eukaryota; Metazoa; Chordata; Lepidosauria; Squamata; Phrynosomatidae. The record is from the annotation of a GenBank genome assembly.